RNAcentral lists this ribosomal RNA (403 nucleotides) under Bacteroidota bacterium. RNAcentral's name for it is "Bacteroidetes bacterium partial 16S ribosomal RNA". It matches the Rfam family "Bacterial small subunit ribosomal RNA", at positions 355 to 776 of the family's 1533-position model. The record is from RNAcentral. Lineage: Bacteria; Pseudomonadati; Bacteroidota.
UGGGGAAUAUUGCACAAUGGGGGAAACCCUGAUGCAGCGACGCCGCGUGAACGAAGAAGGUAUUCGUAUCGUAAAGUUCUGUCCUAUGGGAAGAUAAUGACAGUACCAUAGAAGAAAGCUCCGGCUAAAUACGUGCCAGCAGCCGCGGUAAUACGUAUGGAGCGAGCGUUGUCCGGAAUUAUUGGGCGUAAAGGGUACGCAGGCGGUUUAAUAAGUCGAAUGUUAAAGAUCGGGGCUCAACCCCGUAAAGCAUUGGAAACUGAUAAACUUGAGUAGUGGAGAGGAAAGUGGAAUUCCUAGUGUAGUGGUGAAAUACGUAGAUAUAUGGAGGAACACCAGUGGCGAAGGCGACUCUCUGGUCUGUAACUGACGCUGAGGCUCGAAAGCGUGGGUAGCAAACAGG